AAGGUACUCAAUGAUACUUUCCGUGUCCUCGAAGGGAGUUAGUCCCGUAGACGGCAUGGGGAG
This 63-nucleotide non-coding RNA is filed under the name Sulfurisphaera tokodaii str. 7. RNAcentral describes it as "Sulfolobus tokodaii str. 7 Sulfolobus sRNA133". It matches the Rfam family "Sulfolobus sRNA133". Rfam says of the family: This RNA has structural homologues in 3 archaeon Sulfolobus genomes: tokodaii, acidocalarius and solfotaricus. It shows extensive compensatory base changes, possibly consistent with a functional role. The record is from Rfam by way of RNAcentral. Lineage: Archaea; Thermoproteati; Thermoproteota; Thermoprotei; Sulfolobales; Sulfolobaceae.